Molecule: ribosomal RNA, 1550 nt
Filed under: Enterobacter kobei
Lineage: Bacteria; Pseudomonadati; Pseudomonadota; Gammaproteobacteria; Enterobacterales; Enterobacteriaceae
Description: bacterial SSU rRNA
Rfam family: Bacterial small subunit ribosomal RNA
Source: RNAcentral
AAAUUGAAGAGUUUGAUCAUGGCUCAGAUUGAACGCUGGCGGCAGGCCUAACACAUGCAAGUCGAACGGUAGCACAGAGAGCUUGCUCUCGGGUGACGAGUGGCGGACGGGUGAGUAAUGUCUGGGAAACUGCCUGAUGGAGGGGGAUAACUACUGGAAACGGUAGCUAAUACCGCAUAACGUCGCAAGACCAAAGAGGGGGACCUUCGGGCCUCUUGCCAUCAGAUGUGCCCAGAUGGGAUUAGCUAGUAGGUGGGGUAAUGGCUCACCUAGGCGACGAUCCCUAGCUGGUCUGAGAGGAUGACCAGCCACACUGGAACUGAGACACGGUCCAGACUCCUACGGGAGGCAGCAGUGGGGAAUAUUGCACAAUGGGCGCAAGCCUGAUGCAGCCAUGCCGCGUGUAUGAAGAAGGCCUUCGGGUUGUAAAGUACUUUCAGCGGGGAGGAAGGUGUUGUGGUUAAUAACCGCAGCAAUUGACGUUACCCGCAGAAGAAGCACCGGCUAACUCCGUGCCAGCAGCCGCGGUAAUACGGAGGGUGCAAGCGUUAAUCGGAAUUACUGGGCGUAAAGCGCACGCAGGCGGUCUGUCAAGUCGGAUGUGAAAUCCCCGGGCUCAACCUGGGAACUGCAUUCGAAACUGGCAGGCUAGAGUCUUGUAGAGGGGGGUAGAAUUCCAGGUGUAGCGGUGAAAUGCGUAGAGAUCUGGAGGAAUACCGGUGGCGAAGGCGGCCCCCUGGACAAAGACUGACGCUCAGGUGCGAAAGCGUGGGGAGCAAACAGGAUUAGAUACCCUGGUAGUCCACGCCGUAAACGAUGUCGACUUGGAGGUUGUGCCCUUGAGGCGUGGCUUCCGGAGCUAACGCGUUAAGUCGACCGCCUGGGGAGUACGGCCGCAAGGUUAAAACUCAAAUGAAUUGACGGGGGCCCGCACAAGCGGUGGAGCAUGUGGUUUAAUUCGAUGCAACGCGAAGAACCUUACCUACUCUUGACAUCCAGAGAACUUAGCAGAGAUGCUUUGGUGCCUUCGGGAACUCUGAGACAGGUGCUGCAUGGCUGUCGUCAGCUCGUGUUGUGAAAUGUUGGGUUAAGUCCCGCAACGAGCGCAACCCUUAUCCUUUGUUGCCAGCGGUCCGGCCGGGAACUCAAAGGAGACUGCCAGUGAUAAACUGGAGGAAGGUGGGGAUGACGUCAAGUCAUCAUGGCCCUUACGAGUAGGGCUACACACGUGCUACAAUGGCGCAUACAAAGAGAAGCGACCUCGCGAGAGCAAGCGGACCUCAUAAAGUGCGUCGUAGUCCGGAUUGGAGUCUGCAACUCGACUCCAUGAAGUCGGAAUCGCUAGUAAUCGUAGAUCAGAAUGCUACGGUGAAUACGUUCCCGGGCCUUGUACACACCGCCCGUCACACCAUGGGAGUGGGUUGCAAAAGAAGUAGGUAGCUUAACCUUCGGGAGGGCGCUUACCACUUUGUGAUUCAUGACUGGGGUGAAGUCGUAACAAGGUAACCGUAGGGGAACCUGCGGUUGGAUCACCUCCUUACCUUAAAGAA